This 213-nucleotide long non-coding RNA is filed under the name Mytilus galloprovincialis (Mediterranean mussel). Lineage: Eukaryota; Metazoa; Mollusca; Bivalvia; Mytilida; Mytilidae. The record is from RNAcentral.
GCUGUUAACAAUUACUCCACUGACACAGCUAUCUCAGUGAAGGUCCCUGUUUCAUUAGUACCAGAAGUUCAGGGAUUCUUCAGGUAGAUAAACUGCAUAUUGUUAGUCGUUUACAAAAUAUUAUAAAUAUUACAUCAAUAGAUAAAUAAUGCUAUUCUAAUUAUAUUAAAGUAUUUAUAUCAUCUGGCCUUAUUUUCGAAAUUUCAUAGUUCA